GCCGGGGUGGCGGAAUGGUAGACGCAGUGGAUUCAAAAUCCACCGGGGGCAACUCCGUGGGAGUUCGAGUCUCCCCUUCGGCACCA
This 86-nucleotide transfer RNA is filed under the name Synergistales bacterium. RNAcentral's name for it is "tRNA-Leu". It matches the Rfam family "tRNA". From Rfam's summary of the family: Transfer RNA (tRNA) molecules are approximately 80 nucleotides in length. Their secondary structure includes four short double-helical elements and three loops (D, anti-codon, and T loops). Lineage: Bacteria; Thermotogati; Synergistota; Synergistia; Synergistales. The record is from RNAcentral.